RNAcentral lists this ribosomal RNA (440 nucleotides) under uncultured bacterium. RNAcentral describes it as "partial 16S ribosomal RNA". It matches the Rfam family "Bacterial small subunit ribosomal RNA", at positions 338 to 795 of the family's 1533-position model. The record is from RNAcentral.
CCUACGGGAGGCAGCAGUAGGGAAUAUUGCUCAAUGGGGGAAACCCUGAAGCAGCAACGCCGCGUGGAGGAUGAAGGUUUUCGGGUUGUAAACUCCUUUUGUUAGAGAAGAUAAUGACGGUAUCUAACGAAUAAGCACCGGCUAAUUCCGUGCCAGCAGCCGCGGUAAUACGGAGGGUGCAAGCGUUACUCGGAAUCACUGGGCGUAAAGAGCGCGUAGGCGGGAUAGCAAGUCAGAUGUGAAAUCCUAUGGCUUAACCAUAGAACUGCAUUUGAAACUGUUAUUCUAGAGUAUAGGAGAGGUAGGUGGAAUUCUUGGUGUAGGGGUAAAAUCCGUAGAGAUCAAGAGGAAUACUCAUUGCGAAGGCGACCUGCUAGAACAUAACUGACGCUGAUGUGCGAAAGCGUGGGGAGCAAACAGGAUUAGAUACCCGGGUAGUC